UUCAAAUCCAACCUCCUCCAAAUGUUUAACAAAUGCAGGAAAAAUAAACAACCAUCAUUAAUGGCCUACUUAUUGGCGUGAGAAAAGAAGUGAGUGUCCCUUUAAUUCUGAACCCAAGCCUAGGAUAAUCAGCCUAGAAUCAGCCUGUGGAAUGCGUCGUUUGUAAACCAGGGAUUGUUCCCAUAAUUCUUGCUUGUUGGAGAGUGUAGGGAAGCCGAGCUGGACGGAGAAAACAGUGGGAAUAUACUGAUUUUACACGACAUACCGAUUUCUUUUGAAUUAGAUCACAGACUUGUGUUUUUUCUUUCACGACUGUGCAGUGAACGUUCACAAGAGUUGUCGGACGCUACUAGCUGAGUGUAACAGCAGCAAGAACAAGAAGGAUUCUCUGCAUAGGACCUCCACAACAGCGUCGCCGAUCCUCGCCCUGAGGGAUCGGGACCAGUCUUCUACGGCCCUUGAUUGCCCCUCCG
RNAcentral lists this long non-coding RNA (473 nucleotides) under Oncorhynchus kisutch (coho salmon). Its description in RNAcentral is "lncRNA (ENSOKIG00005037438.1)". Lineage: Eukaryota; Metazoa; Chordata; Actinopteri; Salmoniformes; Salmonidae. The record is from RNAcentral.